This is a long non-coding RNA of Dreissena polymorpha, 327 nucleotides long. RefSeq lists it as uncharacterized. The transcript has 3 exons. NCBI's taxonomy places the organism in Eukaryota, Metazoa, Mollusca, Bivalvia, Myida, Dreissenidae. The record is from RefSeq and is a predicted model, not a curated record.
GUUAAAUGAGGCGUUCGAACACGAACAUUCCGUCUUGCGUUUUGUUACGGAGAUCUUCAUUAAAGUUCAAAUUCACCACUAUUGUUGACAAGACCCAGCCCUCAACAGCCAACCCACAUUUCUAGUGCCGUGGGGAAUCGGCAAGGUUGUCUUCUGACAGACCACACAGGAUAGUUCCAGAAGCCGUCAAGCAAGUCUUUCUGAACACAAACAGUUACAUGGAGUUUUUCAUAAAAGCAUUGCUUCGAAAGCCAGUGGCUGCCAUGAGGGAGGGUGCACCAAGCCUUCGACGAUGACAUCAGCCAUGGCCAAAGAACAUUAUGAUGA